RNAcentral lists this ribosomal RNA (451 nucleotides) under uncultured bacterium. Its description in RNAcentral is "partial 16S ribosomal RNA". It matches the Rfam family "Bacterial small subunit ribosomal RNA", at positions 29 to 523 of the family's 1533-position model. The record is from RNAcentral.
AGCGAACGCUGGCGGCAGGCUUAACACAUGCAAGUCGAGCGGGCAUCUUCGGGUGUCAGCGGCGGACGGGUGAGUAACGCGUGGGAACGUGCCUUCUGGUUCGGAAUAACUCAGGGAAACUUGAGCUAAUACCGGAUACGCCCUUUUGGGGAAAGGUUUACUGCCGGAAGAUCGGCCCGCGUCUGAUUAGCUAGUUGGUGGGGUAACGGCCUACCAAGGCGACGAUCAGUAGCUGGUCUGAGAGGAUGAUCAGCCACACUGGGACUGAGACACGGCCCAGACUCCUACGGGAGGCAGCAGUGGGGAAUAUUGGACAAUGGGGGCAACCCUGAUCCAGCCAUGCCGCGUGAGUGAUGAAGGCCUUAGGGUUGUAAAGCUCUUUUAUCCGGGACGAUAAUGACGGUACCGGAGGAAUAAGCCCCGGCUAACUACGUGCCAGCCGCCGCCGUAA